Molecule: long non-coding RNA, 7412 nt
Filed under: Lactuca sativa (garden lettuce)
Lineage: Eukaryota; Viridiplantae; Streptophyta; Magnoliopsida; Asterales; Asteraceae
Description: long non-coding RNA (LSAT_LNC002665)
Source: RNAcentral
UAAUUCUUCUAGCCAUUAUGUUUAAUGUUCCCCAUGCCAUGCUAGAUAGGUUAUGAACCUUGGAAAAAUCAAAGUUACAUGUAUUCAUAGUAAAACAUAGAUCCAAGGUUUUAGGGUUGUAUGAACACCUUAGGAGUGUUAGAUUGCUCAAAACCCAACAGUGGUAUCAGAGCCUAGGAUUGUUUUCUUGAAUACUUGAUGCAAAAUGUUGAAAGGUCGCAAAAUUGAACUGUUUGGGCAGUGGACUCGCCAAGUCCAUGGGGAGACUCUACGAGUCCAAGCACAAAUUCAUCCUACUUGUCAAGUAGGUUCAUGCACUCGACGAGUAGGAGACACAAAAUGCGGUUUUUCGACUUUUGCUGCUGGAAAUGGACUAGAAACAUUACCCUAAACUGUUUUGAUGUUUUAAAACAUGUUUUAGAUGGUGUAAUGGUUGUUCUAAUCCAUUUACAAUGGCUAAUAUCAAAAUUCCAUGUUUAUAUGUGUUCAUAUGUUCUUGAAAUUUUGAUAUGAAGAUUCAUGUUCUUAUGAGUUAUUGUUAGAUCAUAGGAAUUACUUGCUAAAUUGUUUAAUGAUUAAUUCUUGAUCAAUUAUGUGUUUUAAUGGAAUCCAUAAUUUGUCCUCAAGUUAUGGAUUUCCAAAGGUCACAUAUUUUAAUGAGCAUUUAAACACAUAAGUUACAUAAAAAUGAAGAGUCUUCACUUUUAUGAACCCUUAACUCAUAAGUUAUGAAAUGAAAAGUUUUGAAGAGUUUCAAAACAUGCCAUCAAGUUUUGGAAUUUGUAAAGACACACACACUUUAAAUUGGAACCCUUAGGAUUAUAAAAGUUAAAAUUUAACCCUUAUACUAUUAUAAGAUUAAUGGUUAAUAUUUAUAUAUAUGUAUAAGGUUAAGUCGUUUUACCAUUAGUAGGCCUCAUUCACGAAGCCGGUCUAUAAGGGGGGGGUCUAANNNNNNNNNNGUUGUUGCCUAUAAAAUGGCAGCUUAAUGGGUGUCCACUCUCACCCACCGCUUCUUUGAUCGGUGGAGGUUCGUUAGCUGAACGGGUAGAACAACGACUUUAAUUAUCAUUAAAAGUAUAAUAAUUAUUAUAAAUUAUCUGAAUGUUUUAGUAAUUCCCAAUCUUAGUUACUUUAGGAAAAUGUGAAUAUGGUGUUAACGCAUGAAAUUCACACUUUGUACCUUACCAAGUCGUUGGUGGAGCGUGUGUGGUUCACCGGCACACUAACUUAGACAAGUAAGGACAACAAAGGAUGACUUAAUGUUUAUCAUAGAUUAGUGGAGCAUGUGUGGUUAACCGGCACAUCGAUUAGGUGAUAAUAUUAAGGGUACCAAGUGAAUUUGCAUGGUUAUUCACACCUUGUUUUGUGAUCCUCGGCAUCCCAGUCACAAAAGUUGAAGGGAACAUUCGAGAUUGAAACAUGCCAUUGAAAAGUUCAAUGAAUAUCAAAAGAAUCUAGGAAUUUCAAUGCAAUUAAACCUAAUAAUUCAUUUCGUUUUCAUGGUGGAAAUUGGUGAAUCGUUAUUCACCUACCUUUAAAUAUGUUAUAGCUUAGACUACGUCAUCCCUCUUCUAAGUUAUAAUUUAUUGUGUUGGGUCAUAGCAUAUUACAUUUGGGUGUCUUAUUAAGGACUCUAUUUAUUCUUUUCAGAUGUCUUCCAACAAUGCUUUGGGUUCUAACCCUACCGGCUCCUUCUCUCUCAUGAACCUUUGUAGGAGAGUCAUCUUCGAUGGCUCCUACUUUAUGGAUUGGAUCCGGAACAUCAGGAUGGUCACUCGUUAUGAGGACAAGGAAUAUGUCCUCGACAAGGAGCUUAAGGAUCUUGAGCCUACUACAACUCCUGAGGAGGUCGUUGCAUAUGAGGCACAUGAAAGAGAUGCUACGAAAGUGGCAUGCAUCAUGAUGGCCACUAUGACAGCCAAGCUCCAAAAGUCCUAUGAGGACUACUAUCCUUUUGAGAUGCAACUGGAUUUGAUGGACCGCUACUAUUAAACUGCUCGUCAAGAGUGAUAUGAAAUCAUAUCCUCCAUGAUAACAACCCAAAUGAAGGAUGGUGAACCCAUCACGGGCCACAUGCAGAAAAUGAAAAUUUAUGUGGACCGUUUGCAGAAAUUGAAUGUGAACAUCCCUGAGGAGUUGCCAAUUGACAUCAUUUUUCACUCCUUACCUUCGUGUUAUGAACAAUUCCGCACGAAAUACCACAUGAAAAAGGAGGAAGUCACACUCAACAGGCUUCAAGGACUUCUAAAGACUGCCGAAAGUGGUCUUAAAGGUAAGUCGGUUAUUACUAGUCCUACUCCUACAGCUACCCCUGUUUUGGCUAUCGGUCAAGGCAAAGGGAAGAAGAGGAAGACCUGUUCGAAGGGCACCAAAGGAAAGUCCCUUGAUGGCUCCUCAUCAAGUGGAACCAAAGGUGGUUCUGCUACUCCUUCUGCCAUCCUUAAGGAUGUUGAAUGCUUCUAUUGCCAGAAUAAGGGGCAUUGGAAGCGAAACUGCUCAAAGUACUUGCAGGAUGUCAAGGAUGGGAAAGUGAAACCAUCCCAUGCAGGUAUUUACACUAUAGUUUCUAAUAACUCACCAUAUUCUAAUUCUUGGGUUCUUGAUACAGGUUGUGGUACUCACAUAUGUUGUGAUUUGCAGGGAUUAAGAAGAAGUGAGGAUGUGGAGCAAGGAAAGAUAAACUUAAUCAUAGGGAACAAGAAGGUUACACCUGUUACCAAGAUUGGAGUUUAUACUUUGUUGCUAGAUAGUCGGUUAAAGUUAGAUUUGAAUAAAUGUGUUUACUCGUCUGAAAUGACGAGGAAUAUUAUUUCCUUUCAUAGUUUGUACAAACAAGGGUUUACCUUUUCUUUUGAUAAUGAAAUUGGUAGUAUUAAUGCUUUCUUUAAUAAUGUUCCUUAUUUUAAAGCAUUACCUUGUGAUGGUGUGUAUGAAACUGUGUCGGUUGUAGAUAACCUAGGAAAUAUUAUGUUGUGUAUUGAUUUUUCUACUAGCUUGGAUAAAGCAUCAUUGUGGCAUUGUCGUCUUGGACAUGUAAACAAGAAACACAUAGGCCAACUCCAAAAGGAUGGAGUCUUGGUGUCAUUUGACCUAAAGUCAGAUGAUAGUUAUGAAUCUUGUUUGCUUGGAAAAAUGACAAAGUCACCCUUUACUGGUUCGUGUGAAAGGGGUGAGGGUUUAUUGGACCUUAUACAUACCGAUGUAUGUGGACCCUUCAAAACCACCACAAGGGAUGCUUAUCGCUACUACCUGACUUUUACUGAUGAUUAUAGUAGAUAUGGGUAUGUCUACUUAAUCAAGCAUAAGUCAGAAACUUUUGAUAGGUUUAAAGAGUUUAAACCAGAAGUAGAAAUCAAUUAGGCUGGAACAUUAAGAUGCUUCGAUCCAAUCGAGGUGGUGAGUAUCUUAGCACAUAUUUCCUCGACUAUCUUAAGGAGUGUGGGAUUGUCUCACAAUUGACACCUCCCAGGACACCUCAGCUGAAUGGUGUGGCUGAAAGGCGUAAUCAGACCUUGCUGGACAUGGUUCGCUCUAUGAUGAUUCGAGCUUCGCUACCAAUCUCUUUUUGGGGGUAUUCCUUAGAGACUGUCACCCAUAUCCUUAAUAUGGUCCUACAAAGAAGGUUGCUAAAACAUCUCAUGAGAUGUGGACUGGGAAUGUUCCUAUCUUGGACCACAUCAAGAUUUGGGGCUGCGAGGCUUUUGUGAGACGCAAGAAUAAAGAUAAGAUCGAACCUCGAAGUGAGAGGUGUAUUUUCAUCGGCUACCCACGAAAAUCCUUUGGUUACCUCUUCCCAGUAAGAAUGUGGUCUUUGUGGCAAGGAGAGGAGUAUUUCGUGAACGAGAGUUCAUGAGCCAAGGAAACAGUGGGAGGCAAAUUGACCUUGAAUAAAUUCAAGAUUCGAGUGGUGAAGGAACCUCAAAUCCUAGCAAUCAACCUGAGGAGGAAACACCUAUUGACCCGACUGACGAGUCCGUACCUCUGAUGCAUUCCACGAGAGUUAGGAAUGCACCUGAGCAUUACUAUGGUUUCCAUAUUACUGCGGAAGGUGACACACUUAUCAGUGAUAGUACACUGGUAAAUCUGGAUGAGCCUAACAGCUACACAAAAGCCAUGGUAGGCCCAGAGGCUGCUAAAUGGAAAGAGGCUAUGGACAGUGAGAUACUCUCCAUGUAUGAAAAUCAAGUUUGGAACUUGGUUGACAAUGUACCAGGCCGUAAGACAGUCGGAUGAAAGUGGAUCUUCAAGAAGAAGACCGACAUGGAUGGUAAUGUACACACUUAUAAGGUGCAACUGGUUGCAAAGGUUUUUUCUAAAACUCCCGGAGAUGAUUAUGAUGAGACCUUUUUAACAGUAUCAAAGAUUAAAUCUAUUAGGGUUAUGUUAGCUAUUGCUGCCUUUCAUGACUAUGAAAUAUGACAAAUAGAUGUCAAAACCGCUUUUCUUAAUGGGAAGUUGGCUGAGGAUGUUUACAUGAGUCAGCCAGAGGGUUUUGUUAGUACAGAGCACCUGAAUAGAGUGUGUAAGCUUGAGAAAUCCAUCUAUGGAUUGAAACAUGCACCUCGCAGAUGGAAUCUUUGUUUUGAUGAGAAAGUCAAAGAGUUUGGUUUUUCAAGAAGAGAAGAUGAGUCUUGUGUUUAUGUCAGAGCUAGUGGGAGUAUAGUUAGCUUCUUGGUGCUGUAUGUGGAUGACAUACUGCUCAUAGGAAACGACAUCCCAACUUUGUAGGGAGUGAAUUCCUGGCUUGGGAAGUGUUUUUCUAUGAAGGACCUUGGAGAGGCUGCCUCUAUCCUAGGAAUAAGGAUAUUAAGAGACAGGAGUAAAAGACUAAUUGGACUUAGUCAGAGUACCUACUUGGAUAAGGUGUUGAAAAGGUUUAACAUGCAAAAUUCCAAGAAAGGAGAAUUACCGAUCCAAAGCAAUGCCAAUCUGAGCAAGACUUAGAGCCCAAUUACAGAGGCUGAGAUAGCUGAGAUGAGUCGAUUGCCAUAUGCUGCUAUUGGCUCGAUCAUGUAUGUUAUGACUUGUACCCGUCCUGGUGUGGCCUUUGCUUUGAGCAUGGUCAGUAGAUAUGAGGGGAUCCAUGUCAAGGCUCAUUGGACUGUGGUAAAGAAUAUUCUCAUGUAUCUACGAAGGACUAAGGAUUGGAUUAUUACCCUUGGUGGGAGUGAUGACUUGAGAGUAGUAGGGUAAACUGAUGCUAGUUUCCAGACUGAUAGGGAUAACUUCCGCUCUCAUUCGGCCUGGGUCUUUAUCCAAAAUGGAGGGGAAAUCACUUGGAAGAGUUCUAAGCAGGAGACAGUAGCUGAUUCGACUUGUGCAUCAGAGUACAUUGCAGCGAGUGAAGCGGAAAAGGAGGCGAUAUGGCUAAAGAACUUCAUCGGACACCUUAGAGUUGUACCAGCUAUUAAGGAGCCUAUGGAGAUUUUUUGUGACAGCAAUAGUGCAGUUUCCUUAGCCAAGGAACCGAGAGAUCAUGGCAGAUGCAGACACAUUGACAGAAGAUAUCACUAUAUAAGACACAAGAUAGAAGAAGGAAUCCUUGUGGCAAAGAGGGUAUCAUCAGAAGAUAAUCCUGCAGAUCCCCUCAUGAAGGGACUGACGAGGGUUAGGCAUUUACAUCAUGCAAGGCGCACCGGGCUGAAGGAUGAUAUUAGUUUUACAGAUUAGAUAGCUAUUUCUGAAACUUGUAAAAUGUAAUCGAAAUUUGAUGAUGAAUAAAAGGUGUGUUUAUUGAUGAGUAAGGUGUUACUGUCUUUUGUCAAUUAUUUACUAUUGUUUCAGCUUCACAUGUUUUGACUUCCAGAAUAAAUUACUUUAUUCAAACUUCCACAGUCGGUCAUAUGUCGGAAGUAGGUAUGAACUAAGACUGUCAUGAAUUGGGCUUGUAUAUGACUAAAGGUGUUUAGCCAUAGCAAUGGUUGCUACAACAUUCAUGAGUGCUCAUAAGUUCUGAAUAUUGGAAUAAACCCAAGCUUACUGGCAUCACUUCAUGGAAUUUAUCUUCAGUGAUCGUGAGACGGUAAUAUCAUAUAAGUCUUCAAACCUAGAGAUAUGAUUUGUUGCCUAUGAGUUGGUUAUACAUUAAUUGUACGUAAACGCAUUGGUAACUCAAUGUUAUAAAACAUGCCUUUAUGUAUAAUUCAACAAGUAGUAGAACAAGCAUAUGAGUCGAAGUUUAUCUGUUCCUUCUUGGAUUAGAAGCGAUAUCUGGGCCCCUCGAUGAUUUUGUGUUGACCCAUGUAUCGGGCCCGAUCAGAACUAAGUUGAUGUGUUCAAUUAAGUUCUAUGUCAAACAAAUCAGGAAAUCAAGAAACCAACUGCUAGACAAUAAGUAAGACAUUGCUCCAUGUAUUUUUUCCAACUGAUAUCUAGAACAGAGGAUUAUAUGUUCACUUAUCUAAAAUGGCGCUUCAUAGUUCAAAAAUGUUUUGAGAGCUACGAUUGCCGGUUGGUUCCUGAAGUAAUAUAGGCAAAUAUAUUUAUUAGACUUAUCCAAGUGGGAGACUAUUGGAUAAGGCGUCUAAGUCCAUAACUUUAUUUGGUAUAUAGGCAAAUAUAUUUAUUAGACUUAUCCAAGUGGGAGACUAUGGGAUAAGGCGUCUAAGUCCAUAACUUUAUUUGGUAUAUACUUGACCCGACCCGACAUGGUCCAUUUGGGUUGCACUUCACCUGAACUAUUUAUGGUUAAACCUGUGAGAAUUGUAUGUUUAUGAUAUCUUAAAAUAUUAUAAGUUAUAACAUAUUAAUAUGAAAUCAUAUUAUUUAGUUAGUAUUGAUCAUCAAUUAAUUUAGAAUUAAUUUGGUGAUCAAAAAGGUGACUAAUUAAAUAUGGGCUCUUGUAUUUAUAUAAGUGUGGGAUAAUACUCAUUUGGAAUGGGCUUGGCAUUCAUGUGAGUCCAUGGAUAGUCCAUCGAGAUUUUAAUCCAUGGAUCCUUGUAAAGGAAGAGUCAUGGGUAUUAGGGUUUACAUGGAUGUAACCCUAAUCCUCCACACUAUAUAAAGGAGCUUGUGAUGCUUGAAAUUGCACUAGUUGUGUGUGAAAAAGGCGGUGGCCGAUUUCUAUAAGCUUCAUACACUCUCAUAAGGUUUUUCCAAGUUUAUGGUGAUUUGUGAUUUCCAUUUGAGGCAUCCACAUUAUUGGUGCUAGGCUCUCAAACUCCAAGGAAUCAACUCACAACAAAAGGUAUGUAAUUCUUCUAGCCAUUAUGUUUAAUGUUCCCCAUGCCAUGAUAGAUAGGUUAUGAACCUUGGAAAAAUCAAAGUUGCAUGUAUUCAUAGUAAAACAUAGAUCCAAGGUUUUAGGGUUGCAUGAACACCUUUGGAGUGUUAGAUUGCUCAAAACCCAACAAAUUCUCUUUGCAUGUUGCAAAUGCUUAACUCUAAUCAGUCCCUUCGUGAGGGGAUCU